RNAcentral lists this transfer RNA (72 nucleotides) under Ornithorhynchus anatinus (platypus). It matches the Rfam family "tRNA". From Rfam's summary of the family: Transfer RNA (tRNA) molecules are approximately 80 nucleotides in length. Their secondary structure includes four short double-helical elements and three loops (D, anti-codon, and T loops). The record is from Rfam by way of RNAcentral. Lineage: Eukaryota; Metazoa; Chordata; Mammalia; Monotremata; Ornithorhynchidae.
AGCAGCGUGGCUCAGUGGAAAGAGCAUGGGUUUGGGAAUCAGCAGUCAUGGGUUCGAAUCCCGGCUCUGCCA